ACACAUUUGCUCUGCCUCAUUUAAGUGUCUCUAUAAAUUCUUAAAAAAAGGAAACCAUUAAACAAAUAAUUCCUCUGCUGACUUAUCGUAUAAGUCAUGGCAGCUAGUACAACCCCAGAAAAUAAAAAUAAAUUAAGUUCACUUGUUUUAGCAGCUUUCCUUGACCUGAUCUUAGUUGUGAUUGAGAAAUUUGACUUUAUAUAAUAAAAAAAUCCAACACAUUGUCAUAUGGAACUCAAAAUAAAAUAAAUUAUGGACGAAGAAAAAAAUUAAAAUAACAAACAAAAAUGGAAUAAAUUAAGGAUUUGUCCUUUUAAAAGCGAAGAACCACCAACUUUAAGUCAUCUAUGUAGUGUUGGCCACGUUCCAGUACUUACCACAAUUUCAAUGUUUUCAUGAAGAUUUUUACACGAGGCCGCAAAAGUCUCUGAAGUCGCGUACUCAAAGUACCACAGUUUGUUCUUCAUGCGGCUGUUAAAUUUAUGUGGAUUCUUCUCACGCUCCAAAUGGAAUUUAA
This is a long non-coding RNA of Eupeodes corollae, 517 nucleotides long. RefSeq lists it as uncharacterized. NCBI's taxonomy places the organism in Eukaryota, Metazoa, Arthropoda, Insecta, Diptera, Syrphidae. The transcript has 2 exons. The record is from RefSeq and is a predicted model, not a curated record.